UGUUUUUGCAUUGGAUUGAGAACAACGUACAAACCUUAUCGAUAAACAAUUGGAGGGCAAGUCUGGUGCCAGCAGCCGCGGUAAUUCCAGCUCCAAUAGCGUAUAUUAACGUUGUUGCAGUUAAAAAGCUCGUAGUUGAAAUGAAGGGUAGUUGUGUAAUGAAUACAUUCGUGUAUUUUGUUAUUCAAGUACCCUCCUUCUAAAUUCGAUAUAUGAGUAUUAAUUUACUUGUAUAUGGUUUUAGACGUUUACUGUGAGAAAAUUAGAGUGUUCAAAGCAGGCAUUUGCUUGAAUAUAUUAGCAUGGAAUAAUCAUGUAUGAUUUUCAUGAUGUAUUUGAUUGGUUUGGUUCAUGAGAAUAAGAUUAAAAGGGACAGUUGGGGGUAUUCAUAUUCAAUAGUCAGAGGUGAAAUUCUCGGAUUUAUGGAAGAUGAACAAGUGCGAAAGCA
RNAcentral lists this ribosomal RNA (448 nucleotides) under Blastocystis sp. RNAcentral describes it as "SSU rRNA". It matches the Rfam family "Eukaryotic small subunit ribosomal RNA", at positions 499 to 953 of the family's 1831-position model. The record is from RNAcentral. Lineage: Eukaryota; Bigyra; Opalinata; Blastocystidae.